Non-coding RNA from Callithrix jacchus (white-tufted-ear marmoset), 4496 nucleotides. NCBI's taxonomy places the organism in Eukaryota, Metazoa, Chordata, Mammalia, Primates, Cebidae. The record is from RefSeq and is a predicted model, not a curated record.
GUUUCCUACAACCAGAAAGAGAUGAUGACAUACUUUCAAGACAGGGGCUUCCCCACAAGCUGAGCCAGAAAUGGUGGGAAGUGGCCCUGACUCUGAAAUGACCCCAUUCGCACUGAGCCCUAAACUGCCAGCUCCCCGACACAACCUCUGGGGAUUUCUGGCCCUUUGUGACAAUAUUUUCUGAACCCAGUCCCCAGACCUUAAGGGUCACAGGUGGCUUCUUGGCAGUGCUUCCGGUGCCAGGGGGCUGUGGCCCGUCAGGUCACUGCAAGGACACUGCCAGAGAGGCUUUCUGGGUGAGAGGGUGCCGUUGCCAAGGUGACAGCACAGAGGGCCUGCUUCAAGUGGAGGGCUGGGGAUGGUGCCACUCACUGGAGCCUUCCCCAAGCACACCUCUCCCGAUGUCCCCCACGUGCCCACAAAGUGGGCAUGCAGGAUGGGAUUAACAUCACUCCGUCCCUGCAGUGCCCAUGGGAGACCAUGAUCGUGGGGCACAUGCUGUGACGGCACACUGCCUCUCUUGGUCCUCUGAAGCAAAGAGACUGAUGUUCCCAAGGACCUGGUUUGGAGCCGCCCCCUGCCCCCCGUUCUGCCCUCCCCCAUGCUGGGGUGUGGGAUACUCACCUCAAGUGCCUCUUUGGUAAUGGGGUAUUUCUCCAGGCUGGAGAUGACUUCCAGCACCGCCACCAUGUUCCGGAUCUGUGGAAAUAAAAAGCCAUUUGUUAGGUGCCUGUCCUCUCCCCCUGGGAGGCUGAGACACCCAGCCCCAGGCUGCUUGGGUCUCUCCCCAACCCCAGAGCAAGAGGAGCUGGAAGCACUGAAGCCCACACUCCAGGUAGUCUCCUACCUGCUCCCUGGGCCAACCUGGCACCCAGUGCUCAUCCCCACCUGCCGUUCGACCUCCUCUAGUGCAUGGUGUGUGGUCUGCCCCAAGCCCUUACACAGUGCAUACCCACCCACCUACCUGCUGAAACCCAGGACUCUUAAAUCAGAGCUGCUCCUGAUAGUUAAGACGACCUCUACUCUGCCAUAUGAUGGGAGUGGGAGAGGGGACACUGAAGAAUUCAUUGAAUAAAAUGCACAAAGCUUAGAAGAUCAAUAUAUAGGCCAGGAGUGGAAGCUCAUACCUGUAAUCCCAGCAGUUUGGGAGGCUGAGGCAGGCAGAUCAUGAGGUCAGGAGCUCGACACCAGCCUGGCCAACAUAGUAAAACCCCGUUUCUACUAAAAAUACAAAAAUUAGCCAAGUGUGGUGGCACGUGCCUGUAGUCUCAGCUACUUGGGAGGCUGAGACAGAAGAAUCGCUUGAACUCGGGAGGUGGAGGUUGCAGUGAGCCAAGAUCGUGCCAUUACACUCCAGCCUGGUGACAGAGUGAGACUCCAUCUCAAAAACAAAAGCAAAAACAAAAACCCAAACCAAAAAAGAUAAAUACAUAAUAAACUGGUCAAUUUGAAUGCAUUAACAAGACCUCUUCAUUCAAAGACACCACAAAGAGAGCAGAAAGUCACAAAGUGGGAAAAGACAUAGGCCACAGGCCCCAAGGAGCUGUAUCUAGAACACGCAGAAUACCUGUGCAGCAAUGCAGCUGACCAGGAGCCCGGCGUACAGCGGCCACCAGACAGGAACAGGGACAGCGCAGUGAAAUGUCAGGGCUAAUGCUCCACUUCUCAGCUUUAUCAAUAGCCAGGAAAACACAUGCUGAACCCACAAAUGGAUACAUGACAUGCACCCCAUUGGCAAGGAAUGGUAUUUAACAAUACUAGGUACUUCGGGGGGGCACAGCCGAUGUUGGGGACUGCUGGGCUUUGGCAGAGUGAAGCACGCACACAUCCCAUGACCAGGGAAUCCUUCCCUUUUAGGAUCUUGCUAGGAGCUCCACCUUGUUCUAAGCACUCGCCACACAUUACUGCUUUAAUUGUUACAGCAAGAAUUCCUACAGCUCAACCACCACCUCCGGCAGCUACAGGUUUGUGGUGGGCUGGCUGGUGGGUGAGGGCCCAGGGGCCCUAGGGAAAGAAACCACAGUGAGAUUACACAACUACCCCCCAGAACAUGAUGGAGUAAAGUGGGCACAAGAUACAAAUUAAAACAGCAUAAAAAAGCACACAAGGAAAUGGGCAUCUCUGACCCAGCCACUAUAGUGUUUCCUUGCAUUUUUUCCAAAAAUAUCCCUUUUGUAUACAGGUGUAUAUAUCUACACUUACCACACAUUUCAAAACCAAACUGACCGUGGUUCUGAGCUUUGCCCUUUCUGACUUCACAUCAGAAAUGUUCGGCUCCAAACAGAGCCCCUCAUUUGGCUCACCACGCCUUCCAGAGGGGGGAAAAGGCCUGACUUGAAUGUUGGACACUUAGGCACUUUCCAUUUGCCAUUACAAAACAAGGCUGCAACUGACAACAAUGACAGACUUGACUCUGGGCUGAGAAGCUUGGGUUCCACAUCCGUGCAGGGUGGUCACCUCGUACCCAGGGAGGCUGCUCUAUUCCAUUCCCACCAGGCCAUAUCACUGCCAAGACUGCGUGGCAUGAGUUUCUGUAACACAUGAUUAUAAACUUGGCAUCUUAGCCACAUUUAUCAUCUCAGGCUCUAGGGCUCAGAAGUCAGGUCUAGGUCUCACUGGGCUGGGAUCCUCAUUUCCUGCUCCUUCAGGUGUUAGCAGAGUUCAGCUUUUUACACUGUAGCAAUGAGGCACCUGCUUUCUUGCUGGUUGUCAUCCAGCGGCCAUUCCCAGCUUCUGGAGGGCACUGCAUCCCUCAGCUCACAGGCCCUCCCCCUCUAUGCUCAAAGCCAGCUGCAGGCCGAGUCCUCACCCGGCAUCUCUCUGGCUCAGCCAGGAUAGGUGCCAUCUCUAAGAACUCCCUGACUAGGCAGGGCUGGUCCAGAUCUUGGGUCAUCUCCCCAUCUCCAGGCUCUUCCCUUAGUUUCAUCUGUCAUGUACGGUAUGACAUGCCCAGGCUCCAGGACUAGAACAUGCAUGUCCUUGAGGGCUGUUAAUUCUGCUGGCCUCAUGGAUUCUGGCUUUUCUGCCCCACUUCCAGCACAAGGCAGCCACUACCCUCCCUGUGUUGUUUCCUCUGGGUGUAAAGUUGCAGAGUGGCCACAGAGCUGCCACAAAGCUGCCCCUCUGCCAAUGGUCCCAUUUAUUCCUUGGCAACAACAUCCUUGCCUUGCAAUGUUCUCGUUCAGGGCUCCAAAUGACCCUGAAAACCCUACUCCCAGCUGCGUCAAGGUGAGGGUGGGGGUGGGUGGUGGUCUGAGGAGAUGCAGUCCUGUCCUCACUCCUUGUGCGAUGGGCAGGGAUUCAGUGAAAGGGAGGACUGCACAGUGAGGAGGCCGGUCCCAGACAGACAGCAAGGCCAGCUGCUCCUGGGCCAAGGACUCCAGCACCGACUCAGUCCCUGGACUUGCCACAUGGCUUCACUUCCACACUGGUGACCUCACCCUGGUAUAUUUGGAGCUCUGGUUCCCCACAUACUCCUGAACCAGCAGUCCUGCAGAACAGAACACUGCCCAGGCCCAGCUAGCCUGGUGGCACAAAGUGUCCUUGUCCUUGGGCAGAUACCAUCCUGCUGCCAGACAGGAGGGAGGAGGCAGAACACCUGGGCAACCCCAGGGUCGGGCAACCCCAGGGUCUGGCACCCCAGAAAUCACUGCUGAACCAACAGCCAGCCCCAAGAGCCUCCUGGAAGCUGCAUGGGAGCUGGGGACACCAGGUGAAGCUCUGAGGGCCCUGGCACUUGGAGCUGCCUUAUGAGCCAUACUUAAGCGUGUGCACAGAGGCCUUCAGCCUCCAGGAGGCCCUUGGGCUUUCAGCCCCAAGGGAAAUGCGACCUCCUUGGCAGUCCUCUUUCUGCCCCUAGCGUGUGAGCUGCUUGCCUGAGGAGUAGAGGAGCCCAUCUGCUGUACCUGUAAGGUGCAAGAAACCCACAGUCCUACACCGUCAACAGGUGAACUCUGCCAACACCUGAAGGGGCAGGAACGGAUCCCCCAGAGAGGAGCACAGCCCGCUGCUGCCUGGAUCCCAGCCCGAUGAGCCUGGACCUAACUUCUGAGCCCUAGAGCCUGAGACGAUAAAUGUGUGUUGUGUAAGACAGAGAGAGGGAAAUGUGAAGAAGGGAGGCGGGGCUGGACACGCACAGAAACAGCCUGAGGGAGGGGCUGAAACCCCUCAGAAGCAGGCUGGGUCAGGUGCCUGGAGCUGCGUGAGCAUGCGACACCUCAUUCUCCCACACCCCAGGAGCAGUGGGGAACCCUGUGUACGACUUCACAGCACGCCAUGCUCCGUGGGAGUCAUUAAAGAUCCACCACAAAUCCUCCUUGUUCCUGAAAAAUAAUACAGUCUGAAAUUUGCUACAGAAUCAUCCCCUAGAGCGAGUGACGGGAGGGAGAAAGGUGAAACAGUCACAUGGCUGUAAGCAGCUAUCUACUGAAGCAGGAUAAGGUUACCUUUCUCUACUUUUAUGCUUGAAAACUGUCACAAAUAAAGAUGAGAAAAUA